Molecule: transfer RNA, 70 nt
Filed under: Crocodylus mindorensis (Philippine crocodile)
Lineage: Eukaryota; Metazoa; Chordata; Crocodylia; Crocodylidae
Description: tRNA-Ala
Rfam family: tRNA
About the family: Transfer RNA (tRNA) molecules are approximately 80 nucleotides in length. Their secondary structure includes four short double-helical elements and three loops (D, anti-codon, and T loops). Further hydrogen bonds mediate the characteristic L-shaped molecular structure. tRNAs have two regions of fundamental functional importance: the anti-codon, which is responsible for specific mRNA codon recognition, and the 3' end, to which the tRNAs corresponding amino acid is attached (by aminoacyl-tRNA synthetases). tRNAs cope with the degeneracy of the genetic code in two manners: having more than one tRNA (with a specific anti-codon) for a particular amino acid; and 'wobble' base-pairing, i.e. permitting non-standard base-pairing at the 3rd anti-codon position.
Source: RNAcentral
AAGGUUUUAGCUUAAUAAAAGUUUACUGAUUUGCAUUCAGAAGAUAUAGGAUAAACCCCUAUAAACCUUA